CACAGGUGGGAUUGCGUUUUAAAAUAUUGAAUAGGCAUUAAGUGUGAUUAGGUGGCCAUAGUGCUAGAGUCAUAAGAGGAGAGUUAGAGGAAUAACCAAUGGAAGGAUGAAAUCUAUAGAUAUUGGUUGGAACAUCAAAAGCGACAGCAUCACUCUAUUUUAUGACUGACACUGAAUCACUAAAGUGUGGGGAGCAAACCGGAUUAGAUACCCGGGUAGU
RNAcentral lists this ribosomal RNA (220 nucleotides) under uncultured bacterium. Its description in RNAcentral is "partial 16S ribosomal RNA". The stretch from base 26 to 220 matches the Rfam family "Bacterial small subunit ribosomal RNA", at positions 549 to 794 of the family's 1533-position model. The record is from RNAcentral.